Non-coding RNA from Sphaeramia orbicularis (orbiculate cardinalfish), 882 nucleotides. Lineage: Eukaryota; Metazoa; Chordata; Actinopteri; Kurtiformes; Apogonidae. The record is from the annotation of a RefSeq genome assembly.
UAGCUGAAAGCUCAGUGUAUUUUCCUCACACACACUGAUCCAGAUUCAGAAGACCCCCAGACCAAGAAAAAGACCAGCAUGUCUUCCAUCUGUAUCUGCACAUUGAUCCUCACUCUCUGCAUCACAGUGUGUAGAGGAGACAUUUUGGUGACCCAGACUCCAGAAUCCAUAUCAGUUCAGCUGGGAGGUUCUGCCACCAUCAGGUGUAAAGCCAGCAGCGCCAUUGAUGAUGACUUAGCCUGGUACCAUCAGAAACCAGGACAAGCUCCGAAAUUCAUUAUUAAUUUUGCUUCUAGUAUGAGUUCAGGUCGAUACCAAGGUAGUGGAUAUGAUUAUGACCUCAGUCUGACCAUCAGUAACAUACAGGCUGAAGAUGCAGGAGUUUAUUACUGUCAACAGCAUGAAGCUUUUCCACUCACUUUUGGCGGAGGCACCAAACUCAUCAUCCAAACUGGUGUGACGGUGCCUCCGUCCAUCUCCCUGUUCCCCCCGUCCUCUGAGCAGAUGGCCCAGGGUCAGCCCACUCUGGUCUGCCUGCUCACCGACUACAGCCCAGAAGGGGCCACAGUGAGCUGGGAAGUGGACGGAAACCAGGUGACGGAGGGCGUCCUGACAGGGGAGGAGGAGGAGAAGGAAGGGGGGAAGUUUGUCCGCAUCAGCACCCUGUCACUGAGCAAGGCAUUAUGGGACAAACAAGACCUGUACUCUUGUAAGGUGACGCACAGCGGCAGCACAACGUCUGCAGAGCUCCGGAGGACACAGUGCAGCGUCUAGGGACAUGGGACAUGUCUGUGAUCACAUGUUUCUAAUUCUGUUUGUCUGAUCCCUGUCUGCUUCACUGUUUGAUUUUAAAUAAAAUGCUUGCUGUAUUGAAGAAACUCA